UUUGCCCCCUCAGUCACCCGUUACCGCCUCUUUUGCCCCCUCAGUCACCAGUUACCUUCUCUUUUGCCCCCUCAGUCACCCGUUACCUCCUCUUUUGCCCCCUCAGUCACCCGUUACCGCCUCUUUUGGCCCUCAGUCACCCAUUACCUCCUCUUUUGCCCCCUCAGUCACCCGAUGCCUCCUCUUUUGGCCCUCAGUCACCCGUUACCUCCUCUUUUGGCCCUCGGUCACCCGUUACCUCCUCUUUUGGCCCUCAGUCACCCGUUACCUCCUCUUUUGGCCCUCAGUCACCCGUUACCUCCUCUUUUGGCCCUCAGUCACCCGUUACCUCCUCUUUUGGCCCUCAGUCACCCGAUGCCUCCUCUUUUGCCCCCUCAGUCACCAGUUACCUUCUCUUUUGCCCCCUCAGUCACCCAUUACCUCCUCUUUUGCCCCCUCAGUCACCCGUUACCUCCUCUUUUGCCCCCUCAGUCACCCGAUGCCUCCUCUUUUGCCCCCUCAGUCACCCGUUACCUCCUCUUUUGGCCCUCAGUCACCCGUUACCUCCUCUUUUGGCCCUCAGUCACCCGUUACCUCCUCUUUUGGCCCUCAGUCACCCGUCACCUCCUCUUUUGGCCCUCAGUCACCCGUUACCUCCUCUUUUGGCCCUCAGUCACGCCUCUCCCCACUAUCCAGUCAUGUGGGUGGCCCGGGUGAAGUUUCUACCUUCUCUGUGUCGUCUUACUCCCGUCCUCUAGUCCUGCCCCUCCUGUCACCCUAUCCCUCGCCCUACAUCUCUCUCGCCCUGCUUCAGUUUCUGAAGUUUGUGCCUUUGCCCUCCAUGCCUGGCCGGGCUGUGGCCGCCCUCCCCCACGCCUAUCACUGCUUCUCUCUCUAUAACAAGGUCAGUGAAGGAUUUCUCUGAAUAUCCUGCACCCUGCCUGGGGAAUCUACUAUGCCCUCCGGAGGUUUCCAACCCAUCGAUGGGGGGCAGCAGGUUGUCCGCUCCGCCGUUACAAAAACUCUGGUCCUGUCCGUCUUUACCGCCAUUCUGGGCUCUUUCCAAUUUGGAUACAACAUUGGUGUCAUCAACGCCCCACAAAAGAGACGGGAGAUGCUGAAGAACCAUCAUGGCGGUCUGGUCUGAAUGGAGAAGAUGAG
Bufo gargarizans (Asiatic toad) is the source of this 1140-nucleotide long non-coding RNA. RefSeq lists it as uncharacterized. The transcript is spliced from 3 exons. NCBI's taxonomy places the organism in Eukaryota, Metazoa, Chordata, Amphibia, Anura, Bufonidae. The record is from RefSeq and is a predicted model, not a curated record.